Molecule: small nuclear RNA, 23 nt
Filed under: Arabidopsis thaliana (thale cress)
Lineage: Eukaryota; Viridiplantae; Streptophyta; Magnoliopsida; Brassicales; Brassicaceae
Description: snRNA_03833
Source: RNAcentral
CCUCAAGUUAACCUAGUCUCAGA